Molecule: ribosomal RNA, 466 nt
Filed under: uncultured bacterium
Lineage: Bacteria
Description: bacterial SSU rRNA
Rfam family: Bacterial small subunit ribosomal RNA
Source: RNAcentral
AUGCCUUACACAUGCAAGUCGAACGGCAGCACGGGGCAACCUGGUGGCGAGUGGCGAACGGGUGAGUAAUGCAUCGGAACGUGCCAUUGAGUGGGGGAUAACGUAGCGAAAGUUGCGCUAAUACCGCAUAUUCUGUGAGCAGGAAAGCAGGGGACCGCAAGGCCUUGCGCUCUUUGAGCGGCCGAUGUCAGAUUAGCUAGUUGGUGAGGUAACGGCUUACCAAGGCGACGAUCUGUAGCGGGUCUGAGAGGAUGAUCCGCCACACUGGAACUGAGACACGGUCCAGACUCCUACGGGAGGCAGCAGUGGGGAAUUUUGGACAAUGGGCGCAAGCCUGAUCCAGCCAUGCCGCGUGAGUGAAGAAGGCCUUCGGGUUGUAAAGCUCUUUCGGCCGGGAAGAAAUCGCAUGGGUUAAUACCCUGUGUGGAUGACGGUACCGGAAUAAGAAGCACCGGCUAACUACGUG